CACGGAGGGGGCUAGCGUUGUUCGGAAUUACUGGGCGUAAAGCGCGUGUAGGCGGCUUUGCAAGUCGGGUGUGAAAGCCCUCGGCUCAACCGAGGAAGUGCGCCCGAAACUGCGAGGCUUGAGUGCCGGAGAGGGUGGCGGGAUUCCCCAAGUAGAGGUGAAAUUCGUAGAGAUGGGGAGGAACACCGGUGGCGAAGGCGGCCACCUGGACGGUGACUGACGCUGAGACGCGAAAGCGUGGGGAGCAAACAGG
This 253-nucleotide unclassified non-coding RNA is filed under the name uncultured Myxococcales bacterium. Its description in RNAcentral is "contains 16S-23S intergenic spacer region". It matches the Rfam family "Bacterial small subunit ribosomal RNA", at positions 524 to 776 of the family's 1533-position model. Lineage: Bacteria; Pseudomonadati; Myxococcota; Myxococcia; Myxococcales. The record is from RNAcentral.